UGGCGGACGGGUGAGUAAUGUCUGGGAAACUGCCUGAUGGAGGGGGAUAACUACUGGAAACGGUAGCUAAUACCGCAUAACGUCGCAAGACCAAAGAGGGGGACCUUCGGGCCUCUUGCCGUCGGAUGUGCCCAGAUGGGAUUAGCUAGUAGGUGGGGUAAAGGCUCACCUAGGCGACGAUCCCUAGCUGGUCUGAGAGGAUGACCAGCCACACUGGAACUGAGACACGGUCCAG
RNAcentral lists this ribosomal RNA (235 nucleotides) under uncultured bacterium. RNAcentral describes it as "partial 16S ribosomal RNA". It matches the Rfam family "Bacterial small subunit ribosomal RNA", at positions 96 to 334 of the family's 1533-position model. The record is from RNAcentral.